This 465-nucleotide ribosomal RNA is filed under the name Vreelandella stevensii. RNAcentral describes it as "partial 16S ribosomal RNA". It matches the Rfam family "Bacterial small subunit ribosomal RNA", at positions 338 to 795 of the family's 1533-position model. Lineage: Bacteria; Pseudomonadati; Pseudomonadota; Gammaproteobacteria; Oceanospirillales; Halomonadaceae. The record is from RNAcentral.
CCUACGGGGGGCUGCAGUGGGGAAUAUUGGACAAUGGGGGGAACCCUGAUCCAGCCAUGCCGCGUGUGUGAAGAAGGCCCUCGGGUUGUAAAGCACUUUCAGUGAGGAAGAACGCCUGGUGGUUAAUACCCAUCAGGAAAGACAUCACUCACAGAAGAAGCACCGGCUAACUCCGUGCCAGCAGCCGCGGUAAUACGGAGGGUGCGAGCGUUAAUCGGAAUUACUGGGCGUAAAGCGCGCGUAGGUGGCUUGAUAAGCCGGUUGUGAAAGCCCCGGGCUCAACCUGGGAACGGCAUCCGGUACUGUCAAGCUAGAGUGCAGGAGAGGAAGGUAGAAUUCCCGGUGUAGCGGUGAAAUGCGUAGAGAUCGGGAGGAAUACCAGUGGCGAAGGCGGCCUUCUGGACUGACACUGACACUGAGGUGCGAAAGCGUGGGUAGCAAACAGGAUUAGAUACCCUGGUAGUC